UGUAGUUGCCCAUCAAUCGCUCAGUAGUCAGUGUAGAUUCUGUCUUUACAAUCAGCAGCUACAUCUGGCUACUGGGUCUCUGAUGACAUCUCA
MicroRNA precursor from Nothoprocta perdicaria, 93 nucleotides. NCBI's taxonomy places the organism in Eukaryota, Metazoa, Chordata, Aves, Tinamiformes, Tinamidae. The record is from Ensembl.